Molecule: microRNA precursor, 204 nt
Filed under: Oryza rufipogon (brownbeard rice)
Lineage: Eukaryota; Viridiplantae; Streptophyta; Magnoliopsida; Poales; Poaceae
Description: MIR812 microRNA precursor family
Rfam family: MIR812 microRNA precursor family
Source: Rfam by way of RNAcentral
AAUAAGUGCAGCCAUGAGUUUUCGCGUCCAACUUUGAUCGUCCGUCUUAUUUAAAAUUUUUUUAUAAUUAGCAUUUUUGUUAUUAUGAGAUGAUAAAACAUGAAUAGUACUUUCCUCGUGACUUAUGUUUUUAAUUUUUUUAAAAAAAUUUUAAAUAAGACGAACGAUCAAAGUUGGACGCGGAAAACUAUGGCUGCACUUAUU